UGACUCCCAAUCCCAUCAUUAUAGAGAAAAUGUAUCAUGGCAGAAAGACCAUGUUAUUUGGAUUCAGACAAUACUGGUUCAAUCCCAGAAUUUCCAUAUUUUAGCUGAGUGAACUUGGGCAACUUUGCUUAAACUCUGUGAGGCUCAAUUCCUCAUACAUAAAGUAAUAAUUAACUCUCUGCUCCUUAGAGUCAUUAUAUGUAUUAAUUUACACUAAGUGCAGAAAGGUGUUUAAACAAUUGAAGUUAUUUUUAAUCCUUCUUGAAAUUAUAUUUCAUUUGUUUCUAUGAACUGAGUACUAAUCAUCAGCAAUACCACCAGAAAGGGCUCCCUCUUAAAGUUCUGAACUGGAAUCAUUUAGAAACAGGUGAUAAAAACAUAAAUGUGUCUUUUGGUUCUAAAUGUAGUUAAGUCACAUGGUUAAAUUAAUAUCUACUUUAAGCAAUGGUACCACUGAUUUUUAAAACUUCCCUAAUACUGAAGGAGUCUUCAACAAGUUAAUCUUUUGGCCAUAUAUUUCUACUUAUAGAGGUUUGAUUUUCAACUUUGGUAGUGAAUGAAAUACAUAUAAGUUAACUUGUUAUAAAACAAUGUUGAAUCCUAUGGCACCAACAAGAUUCCAAAAAAGAGAAUGAUUAUUAAAGUGCAGAGCACCCUGAAUACAAGUUUUGCCUUAUGAAAGUAUACAUGAUACAUUAGAGAAGUAGCUGACUCUGUAGAACUGAAGCCUACUUCUUGAUUUAGUAAAUAUAGGAAUUCUAGAGUCAGCUGAUUAAAAAGUCAUGCAACCUUGAACAAGUUAGACAUUCUCUCUUGGCCCCAGUGUCCUUUUUAAAAUAAAUAUUUAGUAGUUGAGAUUAGAAUUUGUAUAACCAUAUCCAGAUUCAAAAUUCUGAGGGUCUAUAAAUUCACUGAAAAAUAUACCUACAGUGGAUGGAACAAGAAAAAAAAAAUAACUUGGGUCAAUCAGAAAUUAAUGAAUCCCAGGAAGGCCCAGGUUCCUCUGCAACAACCCCUUCCACACAAAGCCUUUGACAUUUGUAAUUUUUUUUUUUUUUUUGCAAGACUACUGAAUUAUUAUGUUUUAACCCACCCUUGGAGUGGCCUUCAGAUACCUUCCAUCAAACCUUGUCAGUAUUUGAAGCAAUAAUAAUACUGAGCCAGGUGGACCUGUUUUGGAACAGAUUAAGCCUGUAUAUUGAACUACUAAGCUGCAAGAAAUACCAAGGAGAGGAAUAUGUUAAAUGAUACAAAGGGAAUCUGGUCAGUAAAAUUCAAAUAAGAAACUGUGUGAAGAUUUCUACACCAAUUAAAAAAGGAGAGACAGGAAGAAAGCGAUGGAGAUGUAACAAAGAAGUCUUUUGAUUAAAAGUAUUUGAGAGACAUAUUUAUGAACUGCAAUUGGAAAAAUUUUAAUCUUGACUUGAAUAAAUGAAGUUUUAAAAAUAAGCAUUUAUGGGACAAUCAUGGAAACCUGAGCAAUGAUUGGACAUUUAAUGAUAUUUAAAAUAUAUCAUUAAUUUCUAAGUUGACAUAAUGUUAUAUUAUGAAAAAGAAUUAUCUUUGGAGAUCUCUGCUGAAAUAUUUAUGGAUUCCAUAUGAUAUCAGAGAUUUGUUUCUGUGAAAUCUUUGAUGUCAUAUUGUUUAAUCCAUAAAUAUUUGGAGAAGAAAGGAUAAAAUAUUAGUGAAAGGAAAUUAAAACUGGACAUUAGUAGAUAAUUUUUCAAGUUGAGCAAUACUAUAUUUUGUUUGGAUGUUUGAAAUUUCCAUCAUUAAAUUUAAAACACAUGUGUGCAUGCACACACACACACACAGACACACACAGAUACUGCUUAUGAAUAGAAAGGAAUCCUAUUGAUAAGUAAAGCAUGAAUUUAGAAUUGUCUUUACUUAGAAAUCUCUUGCUGACACUAUGUGCUGAAGAGUAAUUUCUAUUAGCCACAAAAUUCCCAUGAAAUUGAGAUGACUUCACAACCUUCCAUGGAAAACACCUAGAAUGCUGCAGGAAUCCCAUGGUAUAAGAACCAAAUUUGAACUUAAUUGCAGCAGGAGCUUUUGUAAAAUCUUAAUAAUAACUUAAAAACUCAUAAUAAUUCUGCUAUGAAUAAAUUUGCACAAAUUUCCCUUUAACUGUGUGGAUCCAGGGUCUCCAGGUAGGGCACAGAAAUUGUCAACCCUUUGUAGCAUUUGUAUACAGGACAGGACAUUUUAUAUACAUUAAAAAAGUAGGAAAGCUUUACAUUUGAAAACCCUUCUGUUCUGAUGAAGCAAGUGUACUGCACAGAGGAGACAAGUCACUGUCUUUACAGGGACAGUAAGUAAUUCCUGUGGAGGGAGGAGAGAAAGGGAGAAAUUACAGCCACAGUUAAUUUUAUUUUUAUUUCAUGUCCGUCUUUAUACAAGGUCUUCAAAUUAUCUCAUUGAUAGCAGUAAUCAAAGAUAGAGAAUGGAAAUACAUCAUGCCAAGGCAUGUGCUCAUACACACAUACACAUACACAUAAUGCAGGAGUGACAGCUGAUGGACCCUGAUGGUUCUUUCCAGCCCAAUUAUGAUUGAUAGCAUUCCAUUACCUUUAUGCUUAUUUUAAAAUCCUCUUGACACAGAUUGAUUAAAGGCAUGGACCUCUAUGAACCUAUGAAAAAUUUAUGGAUUUUGAAAGAGCUUUAACAUGUACCAUUUAAGCACAAAUCAUUUCCUGGCUGUCACUGUUUUUCCCACAAUCUCUCUU
This 2729-nucleotide long non-coding RNA is filed under the name Marmota monax (woodchuck). Lineage: Eukaryota; Metazoa; Chordata; Mammalia; Rodentia; Sciuridae. The record is from RNAcentral.